RNAcentral lists this microRNA precursor (191 nucleotides) under Macleaya cordata. Its description in RNAcentral is "MIR159 microRNA precursor family". It matches the Rfam family "MIR159 microRNA precursor family". Lineage: Eukaryota; Viridiplantae; Streptophyta; Magnoliopsida; Ranunculales; Papaveraceae. The record is from Rfam by way of RNAcentral.
GUUUAUGAUUAGGAACUCUCUUCACUUCAAAUUUGAAAGGAGAGAAGGGUAGAUCACGGCUGCUAGUUCAUGGAUAUCUUUAAGUGCGCAGGUUAAGAUGGUGCGCAUUUUAAGGGUGUGCAUGAAUCAGGAGCCGAGCUUACCUUCUUCUUUUCUAAAUUGGAGUGAAGGGAGUUCCUAAUUGUGAUCCU